Molecule: ribosomal RNA, 264 nt
Filed under: uncultured Streptococcaceae bacterium
Lineage: Bacteria; Bacillati; Bacillota; Bacilli; Lactobacillales; Streptococcaceae
Description: partial 16S ribosomal RNA
Rfam family: Bacterial small subunit ribosomal RNA
Source: RNAcentral
CCGGAUUUAUUGGGCGUAAAGCGAGCGCAGGCGGUUAGAUAAGUCUGAAGUUAAAGGCUGUGGCUUAACCAUAGUACGCUUUGGAAACUGUUUAACUUGAGUGCAAGAGGGGAGAGUGGAAUUCCAUGUGUAGCGGUGAAAUGCGUAGAUAUAUGGAGGAACACCGGUGGCGAAAGCGGCUCUCUGGCUUGUAACUGACGCUGAGGCUCGAAAGCGUGGGGAGCAAACAGGAUUAGAUACCCUGGUAGUCAAGGGCGAAUUCGC